GAUGAACGCUGGCGGCGUGCCUAAUACAUGCCAGUCGAGCGAACAGACGAGGAGCUUGCUCCUCUGACGUUAGCGGCGGACGGGUGAGUAACACGUGGAUAACCUACCUAUAAGACUGGGAUAACUUCGGGAAACCGGAGCUAAUACCGGAUAAUAUAUUGAACCGCAUGGUUCAAUAGUGAAAGACGGUUUUGCUGUCACUUAUAGAUGGAUCCGCGCCGCAUUAGCUAGUUGGUAAGGUAACGGCUUACCAAGGCGACGAUGCGUAGCCGACCUGAGAGGGUGAUCGGCCACACUGGAACUGAGACACGGGCCAGACUCCUACGGGAGGCAGCAGUAGGGAAUCUUCCGCAAUGGGCGAAAGCCUGACGGAGCAACGCCGCGUGAGUGAUGAAGGUCUUCGGAUCGUAAAACUCUGUUAUUAGGGAAGAACAAUGUGUAAGUAACUAUGCACGUCUUGACGGUACCUAAUCAGAAAGCCACGGCUAACUACGUG
This 496-nucleotide ribosomal RNA is filed under the name uncultured bacterium. Its description in RNAcentral is "partial 16S ribosomal RNA". It matches the Rfam family "Bacterial small subunit ribosomal RNA", at positions 28 to 507 of the family's 1533-position model. The record is from RNAcentral.